UAGAGUUUGAUCAUGGCUCAGAUUGAACGCUGGCGGCAGGCCUAACACAUGCAAGUCGAGCGGUAGAGAGAAGCUUGCUUCUCUUGAGAGCGGCGGACGGGUGAGUAAUGCCUAGGAAUCUGCCUGGUAGUGGGGGAUAACGUUCGGAAACGGACGCUAAUACCGCAUACGUCCUACGGGAGAAAGCAGGGGACCUUCGGGCCUUGCGCUAUCAGAUGAGCCUAGGUCGGAUUAGCUAGUUGGUGGGGUAAUGGCUCACCAAGGCGACGAUCCGUAACUGGUCUGAGAGGAUGAUCAGUCACACUGGAACUGAGACACGGUCCAGACUCCUACGGGAGGCAGCAGUGGGGAAUAUUGGACAAUGGGCGAAAGCCUGAUCCAGCCAUGCCGCGUGUGUGAAGAAGGUCUUCGGAUUGUAAAGCACUUUAAGUUGGGAGGAAGGGCUGUAGAUUAAUACUCUGCAAUUUUGACGUUACCGACAGAAUAAGCACCGGCUAACUCUGUGCCAGCAGCCGCGGUAAUACAGAGGGUGCAAGCGUUAAUCGGAAUUACUGGGCGUAAAGCGCGCGUAGGUGGUUUGUUAAGUUGGAUGUGAAAUCCCCGGGCUCAACCUGGGAACUGCAUUCAAAACUGACUGACUAGAGUAUGGUAGAGGGUGGUGGAAUUUCCUGUGUAGCGGUGAAAUGCGUAGAUAUAGGAAGGAACACCAGUGGCGAAGGCGACCACCUGGACUAAUACUGACACUGAGGUGCGAAAGCGUGGGGAGCAAACAGGAUUAGAUACCCUGGUAGUCCACGCCGUAAACGAUGUCAACUAGCCGUUGGGAGCCUUGAGCUCU
Molecule: ribosomal RNA, 838 nt
Filed under: uncultured bacterium
Lineage: Bacteria
Description: bacterial SSU rRNA
Rfam family: Bacterial small subunit ribosomal RNA
Source: RNAcentral